CAACCAUCCCUAAAAAUAUGGUAUUUCUUAUUCCCAAGAUAAAGGAAAAUUUAGAAUAUAUGUACUAUAUUGGCACGCAUACUAAAAAGAAAUUUAAAAGGUGCAUUCAUUUAAUUUGAUGCGUUGAAGGGUCGUCGUCAGACACUAGCUCUCAUUGGAGAUUAAUGUACUCGCUUUUUUAUAUAGUUAAGGCGUGUACGUAUUUUAAUAUUUAAAUCUGAAUUUUGAUCAAUGAUUAGUCUAAUAUUAAUAAAUAAUAUCACUGAAUUGACUCAAAUUUACUUUUCUAUUGUUGUAGUUUUGUUCAUACAAAUAUCGUAUUAUUUAAGAAACUAAGAAGUCCAAUAUUAGUUUUGAAGAUAAUGUUAAAUAUGACUACGCAUUAUAUUAGGUGCACAAUGGAUAGAGGAUAGCGUGCAUGCACACCAUUCAAUCGUUCAUUUGUUCUGGCGUGUAUACCUUGGGCUUUCCAUGAACCUCACAUUCCAUCAAUCUUCGACCCAGCCUGCUAGUCACACAAAAAGAGACAACUAGCCGUAGAAAAUUCUACCGGUUGGGUUUUGGCUGUACAUGUUUAUCACAUCAAAGGAAUCAAGCGGAUGUUUCUUCGUCACCUUAUAAUUAGGGUCAUAAUCUUUCUAGAACCAAGAAAAGUCACGCUAUGGUGGUGUGGAUCGAGACCAGUAAACCGGGCAGCAGCUGGUCCGGCAUUAUAUAUGUAUACCGGAGGGUCUAUAUAUAAGUAGCAAACUAAUGACCAGAGAGAGUAGUGCUAGCCAGUAAUAAGCACCUCUAGCCAAGAAAUCAGACUGGACGACCGGCCGGCGCCACGCCGGAGUUCGUUCACAAGUUCUCGCCGGUGAGCCUGCGUUCGAUGUUGAAAAGACGAGGAGUGGCUGCGCAGCAGCGGGCGCCGGAAGCGAUGGUUCUGGCGGCGGUGCUCCUCCUGAUGAUCGCCUACGGCGUGGCCCGGAACGAGGCGGCGGUGCCCGACUCCAGUCUCUCCUGCCUCUCCAUGCCUCGCCAACAAGACGGCGCGACAACUCCAAAUCGGCGUUCCUUAUCCGUGCACCCGUCGUGCUGCACUAGUAGCCCCCCGCCGAGCUGCUAUAAACCUCAACCCUGCCCACCGUCCUAAUCGACCGAAAAGGCCAAAAUAUAUACAUACACAAAAGUUACCAUAUAUAUUUCAAGAUCGGUGGAAGUACUUACAAUAUAUAUUAACGUGUUGUGUCAUACUAUGUCAGAAUUUACAAGCUA
Oryza sativa Japonica Group (Japanese rice) is the source of this 1260-nucleotide non-coding RNA. The record is from RefSeq and is a predicted model, not a curated record. Lineage: Eukaryota; Viridiplantae; Streptophyta; Magnoliopsida; Poales; Poaceae.